AGCAGCCACAGUAAUUCCAGCUCCAAUAGCAUAUAUUAAAGUUGUUGCAGUUAAAAAGCUCGUAGUUAAAUUUCGGGGUCAGCAGGUUGGUCGUGCCACUGGUAUGCAUUGGCCUUGGUAAUUCCUCCUUCUUGAAGAACCGUGAUGCCAUUCAGUUGGUGUUGCGGGGACACAGAACUGUUACUUUAAAAAAUUAGAGUGUUUAAAGCAGGCGCACGCCUGAAUACAUUAGCAUGGAAUAAUGAAAUAGGACAAUUGAUCCUAUUUUGUUGGUUUCUAGGGUUGAUGUAAUGAUUAAUAGGGAUAGUUGGGGGCAUUAGUAUUCAAUUAUCAGAGGUGAAAAUUUUGGAUUUAUUGAAGACUAACUACUGCGAAAGCAUUUGCCAAGGAUGUUUUCAUUAAUCAAGAACGAAAGUUAGGGGAUCAAAGGCGAUCAGAUACCGUCAUAGUUUUAACCAUAAACUAUGCCGACUAGGGAUCGGAUGAUGUUAAUUUUUAAUGACUCAUUCGACG
Molecule: ribosomal RNA, 513 nt
Filed under: uncultured Glomus
Lineage: Eukaryota; Fungi; Glomeromycota; Glomeromycetes; Glomerales; Glomeraceae
Description: SSU rRNA
Rfam family: Eukaryotic small subunit ribosomal RNA
Source: RNAcentral